RNAcentral lists this ribosomal RNA (278 nucleotides) under uncultured bacterium. Its description in RNAcentral is "partial 16S ribosomal RNA". It matches the Rfam family "Bacterial small subunit ribosomal RNA", at positions 333 to 628 of the family's 1533-position model. The record is from RNAcentral.
UGUCGCCUACGGGAGGCAGCAGUGGGGAAUCUUGCACAAUGGGGGAAACCCUGAUGCAGCGACGCCGCGUGAGUGAGGAAGUAUUUCGGUAUGUAAAGCUCUAUCAGCAGGGAAGAAAAUGUCGGUACCUGACUAAGAAGCCCCGGCUAACUACGUGCCAGCAGCCGCGGUAAUACGUAGGGGGCAAGCGCUAUCCGGAUUUACUGGGUGUAAAGGGUACGCGGACGGAUAAGCAAGUCUGAUGUGACAGUCCGGGGCCCAACCCCGGAGUUGCAUCG